UGGGGAAUAUUGCGCAAUGGGGGAAACCCUGACGCAGCGACGCCGUGUGAGGGAUGAAGGCUUUCGGGUCGUAAACCUCUGUCGGGAGGGAAGAACCUUCUAGGUCCUAAUAAGACUUGGAACUGACGGUACCUCCAAAGGAAGCACCGGCUAACUCCGUGCCAGCAGCCGCGGUAAUACGGAGGGUGCAAGCGUUAAUCGGAAUCACUGGGCGUAAAGCGCGCGUAGGCGGUCUUUUAAGUCGGACGUGACAGCCCUCGGCUCAACCGGGGAACUGCGUUCGAAACUGGGAGACUUGAGUCCUGGAGAGGGUGGCGGAAUUCCGGGUGUAGGAGUGAAAUCCGUAGAUAUCCGGAGGAACACCGGUGGCGAAGGCGGCCACCUGGACAGGUACUGACGCUGAGGCGCGAAAGCGUGGGGAGCAAACA
Molecule: ribosomal RNA, 428 nt
Filed under: uncultured prokaryote
Description: bacterial SSU rRNA
Rfam family: Bacterial small subunit ribosomal RNA
Source: RNAcentral